CUGGCGGCACGCCUAACACAUGCAAGUCGAACGAAGUAGCAAUACUUAGUGGCAGACGGGUGAGUAACAUGUAGGUAUCUACCCUUUGGCCUGGAAUAACACGAGGAAACUUGUGCUAAUACCGGAUAAGUCUUUACAGAGAAAGCUUUAUGCACCAUUGGAUGAGCCUGCACUUGAUUAGUUUGUUGGUGGGGUAAUGGCCUACCAAGACUGUGAUCAAUAGCUGAUUUGAGAGGAUGAUCAGCCACAUUGGGACUGAGACACGGCCCAAACUCCUACGGGAGGCAGCAGUGGGGAAUCUUGCACAAUGGAGGAAACUCUGAUGCAGCGAUGCCGCGUGAGUGAAGAAGGCCCUUGGGUUGUAAAGCUCUUUCGUCGGGGAAGAAAAUGACUGUACCCGAAUAAGAAGGUCCGGCUAA
RNAcentral lists this ribosomal RNA (419 nucleotides) under uncultured bacterium. Its description in RNAcentral is "bacterial SSU rRNA". It matches the Rfam family "Bacterial small subunit ribosomal RNA", at positions 36 to 500 of the family's 1533-position model. The record is from RNAcentral.